This 373-nucleotide ribosomal RNA is filed under the name uncultured organism. RNAcentral describes it as "bacterial SSU rRNA". It matches the Rfam family "Bacterial small subunit ribosomal RNA", at positions 526 to 896 of the family's 1533-position model. The record is from RNAcentral.
CGGGGGGGGCAAGCGUUGUUCGGAAUUACUGGGCGUAAAGGGCUCGUAGGUGGCCAACUAAGUCAGACGUGAAAUCCCCAGGCUCAACCUGGGAACUGCGUCUGAUACUGGAUGGCUUGAAUUCGGGAGAGGGAUGCAGAAUUCCAGGUGUAGCGGUGAAAUGCGUAGAUAUCUGGAGGAAUACCGGUGGCGAAGGCGGCAUCCUGGACCGAGAUUGACACUGAGGAGCGAAAGCCAGGGGAGCAAACGGGAUUAGAUACCCCGGUAGUCCUGGCCCUAAACGAUGAAUGCUUGGUGUGACGGGUAUCGAUCCCUGUCGUGCCGAAGCUAACGCAUUAAGCAUUCCGCCUGGGGAGUACGGGUCGCAAGGCUG